Molecule: ribosomal RNA, 618 nt
Filed under: uncultured bacterium
Lineage: Bacteria
Description: bacterial SSU rRNA
Rfam family: Bacterial small subunit ribosomal RNA
Source: RNAcentral
GGCAAACGGGAGCGUAACACAUUGGUAACUCACCUCGCACUCGCGAAUAACUAUUGGAAACGAUAGCUAAUACGCGAUAUUAUUGCCCUCUCUUAUGAGUAGGCAAUGAAAGAUUUAUCGGUGCGAGAGAGACCUAUGGUCCAUCAGGUAGUUGGCGGGGUAAUGGCCCACCAAGCCUAUGACGGAUACCAGGCGCGAGAGCGUGACCUGGCUCAUUGGAACUGAGACACUGUCCAAACACCUACGGGUGGCUGCAGUCGAGAAUAUUCCGCAAUGCACGAAAGUGUGACGGAGCGACGCCGCGUGCCGAAUGAAGGCCUUCGGGUCGUAAACGGCUUUUAUCAGGGACGAAUUUUGACGGUACCCGAUGAUAAGGGGUUGCUAACUCUGUGCCAGCAGCAGCGGUAAUACAGAGACCCCGAGCAUUAUCCGGAUUUAUUGGGCGUAAAGCGUUCGUAGGCGGCUUUGUAAGUCAUUUGUUAAAUCCUCAGGCUCAACCUGGGGGCUGCAGGUGAUACUGUAAGGCUCGAGUGUGGGAGAGGCAAAUGGAAUGCCCGGUGUAGCGGUAAAAUGCGUUAAUAUCGGGUAGAACACCAAAGGCGAAGGCAAUUUGCUGGA